Molecule: long non-coding RNA, 681 nt
Organism: Papaver somniferum (opium poppy)
Lineage: Eukaryota; Viridiplantae; Streptophyta; Magnoliopsida; Ranunculales; Papaveraceae
Exons: 2
Source: RefSeq, a predicted model, not a curated record
UGUCGAUACAGAAAGAGAGGAACCUAGCAAUAGAAAGAGAAUGAGAGAAAACGAACCAGAUGCUGCUGAUUCUGAUCUGCCCAACCUAUCCCAAAUCAAUUCUAGUUUCCAAUCUUCGGAAUCAACCCCCAUGAUUACGAUGGAAAUGAAUCACACAGAUGUACUGAGAUCUUCUUCUAAUCAACUAGUCGAGGGUGAUGUCGAGAUGCGCGAUGGAGUUUUGGAUACACAUGCUCUGGAAAAUCUGAAUCAGUGAAUUCAUGGGAGAACUGCAAACAUGGAAACUACCAGGCCUGCAAGACAGUCUCUGGACUAGCAAAGAGUGCUGAAGAAGCGGAAAGUCUGGCCAUUUUGGAAGCCGCUAACUGGGCAAUCAACAAAGACAUAGCGGAAGUUUGCAUUUACAGUGAUGCAAUGUCACCUAUUUCUUAUAUAAUGAAUAAAACUAACCAGACUAGCUGGUUAAGCAGGUCUAUUUUAGAUGAUUGUCUUCAUUUGUCAAACAAUUUCAGUUUUUUCAGAGUCCAGCAUUUUAAAAGAACUUUAUCUUGUUUACCAAUGGCUGAUAAAGCAACCAAGUUUGAGUCUGAUGGGGAAUGGACAGCCAUUAUUCCCACUUUCCUUCAAACUGUGUAAGCUUGUUAUCCUUCUAUAAUAUAUCUUUUUUUCUAUCAAAAAAAA